RNAcentral lists this long non-coding RNA (1332 nucleotides) under Salmo trutta (river trout). Its description in RNAcentral is "lncRNA (ENSSTUG00000039129.1)". The record is from RNAcentral. Lineage: Eukaryota; Metazoa; Chordata; Actinopteri; Salmoniformes; Salmonidae.
AUGACACAUCACAUAUUGUGUGUAUGUGUGUCUCCAGGCUGUGGGACGGCCCUGGCCCCAGAGGACCUGCCCUACCUGGAGAUCCUGUGUGUUUCAGACACCAUCCACUCCCUCGACACACACCACACACCCUCUGCCUCCAAUGGAUUCUCUGCAGAGCGAGAGGUGUGUGAGGGACGAGAGGCGAGGCAGGGCAGCCACAGAAAGACUCCUCAGAGCUAUGAGAAGCAAGGUUCUCUCAUCACUCUGGCCUGGAGCAAACCACCGGAUGGAGAAACUGAGCAGCAGGCAGAAACAGUCAUGUCUACUGCAACAGAGCAACAAGAGGAAGUGGGUGAGGUGAGUGUGCACUGUGACACACACAACACCCCCGGAUUCACACACUAUGACACACCUGGACACAUACACUACAACGACACAACCAGAGACACAGACCAGGUGGUGUUGGACUCGUCUCUGUUCCAGUACAGCUCUGAGGUUGAACAGCUCUUACCGCCUACAGACCAGCACCCCACCACGGACCAGAAGGAGUUGAUGAUGGAGCAGUCAGAGAAGACAGAAACACUUUCUAAUGUGCCCACACACACCCCUAUCACACACACUCUGCCCCCUGAGCACACACACACUGAGGAGCCUCCAACAUGGGGCAGAGCCCAGCAGGAGGCUGAGACAAGGCGCGGAAGUCCACCGGUCAAUGAGGAACACACUGAUGACCUCACUGCUUUGGGAGCCAAUGGAAGUGCUUACCCACGCUCUGUGGGAGGGGAGAUGGAGGACAUGACAGAGCUCUGGGCCCUGAGUAGACCUGCACCCCUUACAUCAGCCCAUGAGACCCUUAACACCCCACACACUACUCUAGAAGGAGACAGAACAAUGGAGGGAGAGAAAACAAUGGGGAGUGUGAUGGAGAGAGAAAAAACAUUGGAGCCAGUCUCUAUGAUGGAGAGAGAGAAAACAAUGCGCAGCUUGGUGGACCUGCAGAGGAAGGUGGAGCAGAAACAACAGCGAGACAGAGAGAGACAAUUACUGAGGGUCCAGGAGCGGCUGUCAAUCAUUCAGAACAAGAAGUCCCAGGAAGACCUGAUGGGCCUCAGACAGACUGACAGACUCCGACACCUCACACAUAACCUGCCCCAGGCGGAUAAGAGCCAGCAGAAGACAGUGGUCAGAGAGAGACUGGAGCAGCUGAGGAGAGAACGCUCCUACGUCAUGCAGUCCAAACGAGACAGGAAUACAGCAGGCUUCAAGGAGCUGCUGGGUCCAGUGAGAAUCCACAGUGCAGAGCCAGACGACACUGCUGACUCACUCAGGCUAGCCACCAGCGCAAGCUAA